This 480-nucleotide ribosomal RNA is filed under the name uncultured Allobrachymonas sp. RNAcentral describes it as "bacterial SSU rRNA". It matches the Rfam family "Bacterial small subunit ribosomal RNA", at positions 897 to 1382 of the family's 1533-position model. The record is from RNAcentral. Lineage: Bacteria; Pseudomonadati; Pseudomonadota; Betaproteobacteria; Burkholderiales; Comamonadaceae.
AAACUCAAAUGAAUUGACGGGGCCGCACAAGCGGUGAUGAUGUGGUUUAAUUCGAUGCAACGCGAAAAACCUUACCCACCUUUGACAUGGCAGGAAUCCUAAAGAGAUUUGGGAGUGCUCGAAAGAGAACCUGCACACAGGUGCUGCAUGGCUGUCGUCAGCUCGUGUCGUGAGAUGUUGGGUUAAGUCCCGCAACGAGCGCAACCCUUGCCAUUAGUUGCUACGAAAGGGCACUCUAAUGGGACUGCCGGUGACAAACCGGAGGAAGGUGGGGAUGACGUCAAGUCCUCAUGGCCCUUAUAGGUGGGGCUACACACGUCAUACAAUGGCCGGUACAGAGGGUAGCCAACCCGCGAGGGGGAGCCAAUCCCACAAAGCCGGUCGGAGUCCGGAUCGCAGUCUGCAACUCGACUGCGUGAAGUCGGAAUCGCUAGUAAUCGCGGAUCAGCAUGUCCGCGGUCGAAUACGUUCCCGGGCCUU